This 490-nucleotide ribosomal RNA is filed under the name uncultured bacterium. RNAcentral's name for it is "partial 16S ribosomal RNA". It matches the Rfam family "Bacterial small subunit ribosomal RNA", at positions 30 to 507 of the family's 1533-position model. The record is from RNAcentral.
UGAACGCUGGCGGUAGGCCUAACACAUGCAAGUCGAACGGCAGCACAGUAAGAGCUUGCUCUUACGGGUGGCGAGUGGCGGACGGGUGAGGAAUACAUCGGAAUCUACUUUUUCGUGGGGGAUAACGUAGGGAAACUUACGCUAAUACCGCAUACGACCUACGGGUGAAAGCAGGGGAUCUUCGGACCUUGCGCGAUUGAAUAAGCCGAUGUCGGAUUAGCUAGUUGGCGGGGUAAAGGCCCACCAAGGCGACGAUCCGUAGCUGGUCUGAGAGGAUGAUCAGCCACACUGGAACUGAGACACGGUCCAGACUCCUACGGGAGGCAGCAGUGGGGAAUAUUGGACAAUGGGCGCAAGCCUGAUCCAGCCAUACCGCGUGGGUGAAGAAGGCCUUCGGGUUGUAAAGCCCUUUUGUUGGGAAAGAAAAGCAGCAGGUUAAUACCCCGCUGUUCUGACGGUACCCAAAGAAUAAGCACCGGCUAACUUCGUG